CUGUGUCUAAAUGCCUGAAGCCAUAACAACAGACGGGGAAAUGCUCGGAUUAGAAAAGUCAGUAAAUUCCACCUCACAUUGUCAAAUUAGCAGUCAUGAACUCGGCCAUGUUGGUUCGCGGCGGGGUCGGUUGAGAGAAGAGUGCGUCUCAGCCAAGCCCCCACAAUGCCUCUCUAAAAAUGGUCCCAACCCGGAAGUAAGAAAAAUUGCAUUUCCACCCUCAUCCGCUGGGGGCUGGUCUCAGAAGCGAGCAAAUCCUCAUUGACUCCCAUGUUAAAAAUGCCAUUUUCACAGCAGAAAUAAACAUGUUUACAGCCCGGUUCCAAAAAUUGUUUUUUGUCUAAAUUAUCUAGUUUAUACUCAUGACAACUCUGAGGGGGGUGAAUUUUCUUCUCACUCUUCUGUUUAAGUGUAUUGAAAGCCUAAAAUUCUGUAUAAUUAAUGAGCAUCCGACACACGUGACCGCCGCCUCAGACCCACGUGACCACAUAGCUAGUUCCGUGGAAAGGCCUCAGUACAGCCUCGGUCUCUCCUGGAAACUGUGUGGGGAUUUUGAGUCUCUGUGCUUGUGAAUUCUGUUUUGGAUAUUAUUGGUGCAAUUGUUGGACAAAAUGACUUGCUGUGGUAUUAAUUGCACUAAUAGAACGUCCAAGGAGUCUCCACUUCAUUUUUUUCGGGAAGGACCUGAUUGGUGUCCAGAACCUGCUGAAGAAGCACCAGGCUCUGCAGGCUGAGAUCACAGGUCAUGAACCUCGCAUAAAGGCUGUCACCCAGAAAGGAGACACCAUGGUGGAGGAAGGUAGAGCAGGUCUGGUCCUGACAUGUUUCUGAGGUGUCUGCAGGUUCUGGCUCACUUUUUUUGGGUCCAGGUCACUUCGCUGGUGAGGAAGUGAAGACUAAACUGUGGGAGCUUCAUGGACGUUGGGAGACGCUGAAGGCCAAGGCGUCCCAGAGGAGGCAGGACCUGGAGGACUCUCUGCAGGCCCAGCAGUACUUUGCGGAUGCUAAUGAGGCCGAGUCCUGGAUGAGGGAGAAGGAGCCCAUCGUUGGAAGUCCAGACUAAGGGAAAGACGAGGACUUGGCCGAGGCUCUCUUGAAGAAGCACGAGGCCCUGAUGUCGGACCUGUCGGCUUACGGCAGCAGCAUCCAGGCCCUGAAGGAGCAGGCCCAGUCCUGCAGGGUGAGUUCAGAACCCUCGGCCCGUCAGAACAUUCUUAUCCACCACGUUCUAACACCAGACCUGUUAACCCGACAGCAACAAGGUAAUCAGCAGGUGCUUUUGUCCUGCAGGACCUGAAGGCCAACGAGUCCCGCCUGAGGGACAUCAACAAGGUGGCAUCUGAACUGGAGUCAGAAGGUCUGAUGGCUGAGGAGGCUCCUAUGGUUCAGGCUCAGGUGAGCGUCACCUGUCUGCAGCAGCUGGUCCCUCUCACUUCCUGGUUUAACUCUGCUCGUCUCUGUUUGUAGCAACAAGAACAUCUGGGUUCUGCUCCUGGAAAGGUGCAUGUUGUCCUCCGCCUCCACCAGAACCAGACGUGGUGUUUUUGUUACCACUCAUUUGUUUG
Non-coding RNA from Nothobranchius furzeri (turquoise killifish), 1565 nucleotides. Lineage: Eukaryota; Metazoa; Chordata; Actinopteri; Cyprinodontiformes; Nothobranchiidae. The record is from RefSeq and is a predicted model, not a curated record.